AGGGUUUCCCCAGACGGCUUCUGCGGGUUGCGCAGACGCAAAACUCCCCCUUCGUCGUGUCAGCCGUGCCGCCAACGGUGGCUGCCUGGCUGCUGCCCUCCCUCCCCGGAGCGACGGCGCUGCCCUUGCAGCCCCUGCAGGUACCCACCCUCCCCUCCGCGCUGCCCCAGGCCACCGUCUGGCACGUGGUGCCGGGGGUCCAGGGGCAGGUGCUGCAGCUCCCCGCCGGGGUGCAGCUGCCACCUGGGGGGCACCUCCCAGCCCAGGGGCACCACCUGCAGCUUGGGCAGCUCCCCGCCGUGGGGCAGCUCCCUGCUGGGGGGCAGCUCCCCGCUGUGGGGCAAAACCUGCAGCUGGUGCAGCUCCCAACCAUGGGGCACCAGCUGCAGCUGGUGCAGCUCCCCGCCGUGGGGCAGCUCCCCCACACCGCUCCUCCCUGUGCCCCCGUCCAUCAGUGGGGACAGCCCAUGGUGACGGGGACACUGGUGCCCCACCAUGCGCUGGGGCUGGGGCCCAGGGCCGUGCUCCAUGGGGAGCUCCUGCACCCCGCAGGCACCUGCCUGUUGCAGGCCCCCGCCCAGCGCAACCCCCCGCCACCCCUCGUCCCGGGGCCUCCGCUGCGGGGGCAGGCGCUCCCCACGCCCCGCACCCUGAGCAGCAGCCGGGGGCAGCUGCCGGAGCCCUGCUUGCACGCCGUGGGGCUCAGCGAGGACCAGGGGCCCCCGCUGCCCGGCCCCACUCCCCCCGAGCCUGCCCAGGCUCCAAGGACCGCCAGCACCCAGACGGCGACGCCCGACGCGGCGACAGCCCCGCAGGUGCCUGAGGAGCCCCCGCAGCUGCCCGAGCUGGGCCCCGAUGCCUUGGCCGAGGCCUUUCCAGAGCUGGCAGGGGACAGCCAGCAGCUGCAGCACGUGCAGGACGAGCUCCUGGCCCACCUGGACAUCCCCAUCCCCGACAUGGAGGAGCUGCUCAGCUGGCUCGAUGCCGUGGAGCCCCAGGACGCCUUCCCCGAUUUGCCCAGCAGUCCUGCCCUCAGCCGCUUCCUCUCCCAGCUGCCCGACCUCUGCGAGGACAUCGAGGAGCCGAGCACGCAGGGACUGGAAGCCACAGGAGCCCUCGGUGAGGUCCCCUCAAGCCCUGGGGUGCGCCCCGAGAAGCUUGAGGGUGGGCUGUCGCUGCAGUCCCCCGUCGUGCCAGCAGUGAGCCCCCCCCUCAGCCCUGCAGCCAGUCCCCUGCCCAGUGCGCUUAGGAGCCCCCUACCCAGUCCACCCCUGAGUCCCCCCAGGAGCCUCCCUGACACCCAGGUCCUCAGUGCCCUUAGUAGAGCCCUGCCCCAACCCCCCCAGCGUUCCCUCAAGACCCGCCCCAACCCCAAGGUCCCCAGUGCCCUUAGUAGAGCCCAGCCCAAAUCCCCCCCGAGUUCCCCCAAGAAACGCCCCAACCCCAAGGGCCGCAGUGACCAUAGGAGACCCCUGCCCAAACGCCCCCUGGGUCCCCUCAAGAGCCCCCUGGCUGCCCCUGCGUCCACCGGCACCGAGCGGGGGGCCAAGCGCCCCGCGCCCAGCAGCACCCCCGGGACAGCGCAGAGCUGCCAGCACAGGAGGCCGACGACAGAGAACCCCCCCCGCAAGGAGAGGAAGAUGCUGCUGGGCCAGGCUGGCCAAGGCCGCAAGAGACCGUGCCAGGGGAAGACGCGUGGCAGCAGCACGGUGGCUGGCAGCAGCAGGGAAGCAGGCAGCAGCGGGCAGCAGCUGGCGAUCAACAGCACCACGGCACCGGCCAGCGGGGCCAAGACGCUGGAGGAGUCGGUGCCCAUCACGCCGCAGCAGCGUCCCGAGCGGGAGCGCCUGAAGAAGCUGGCCCAGGAGGAGCGGCAGCGGGCGGCCCACCAGAUGAAGAUCGGCCCCGUGCAAUUCUUCGUGCAGCGGCAGAAGGACCACGCCAGAGCCUACUCUUACGGCUACCCGUGACCGACCUCGGGCUUCUCCUCGACGGCCCCCGCAGCACCCAGGCAGGCACAGAGACCUCUGCAGGCACCUGCUCCAGCUUCAGCCACGCUCCUCAGCCCUUGCCCCUCUCGCUUGCCCUCUCCCCUCUCUCGUGCUGGAGCUAGGGGAUGAGCUUGCCACUCUCAGGGAUGGGCAACGGGGGCAAUGGAAAAUGCGUGGCUCACCGAGGAAGGUGGCAAUGGGAAGCUGGGGAGAUGCUGGCAGCGGCUGGGCUGGGAAAGCUUGCCCAUGGCAACUGCUGCUUGGGACACCAAAGGGCUGAGAGACAAGACUUGGUUCUUCUUUCAGGGCAUUGCUCUUCUUUCCUGCCUUCUGGAUUAAAUUCCUCUCCUUACGUGGUCACUCAGCAAGGCCUCUGCCUGCAGCUCUUCUUGCACUGGGAUGCCAAGGGGAUUUCAUGCAGCCCGCUCCCGCUGCCCAUGCUCAGGCCGUGCAUGGAUGUGGGCAUGGCCAGCACGGACGGCAGAAGAUGGAUGGAUGGAUGGAUGGAUGGAUGGAUGGAUGGAUGGAUGGAUGGAUGGAUGGAAGAAUGGGAGUUGGGAAUUGAGCCUUGGGAGCAGCAAUGGGAGGUGGCUGGGAUAGGAAAUGAUCAGUGGGAUGGGAAGUGAUGAUGGGGAUAGGAAUUCAUUGUUAUGGGAAAAAUGGGUUUUAUUUUUAUUAAAUUUAAAUUUGUUAAUUUUCAUUUAAUUUGUUGGUUUUAUUAUUUAUUUCAUUAAAUC
Molecule: long non-coding RNA, 2728 nt
Filed under: Anas platyrhynchos (mallard)
Lineage: Eukaryota; Metazoa; Chordata; Aves; Anseriformes; Anatidae
Description: lncRNA (ENSAPLG00020011080.1)
Source: RNAcentral